CCUACGGGUGGCUGCAGUGGGGAAUAUUGCACAAUGGGGGAAACCCUGAUGCAGCGACGCCGCGUGAGUGAAGAAGUAUUUCGGUAUGUAAAGCUCUAUCAGCAGGGAAGAAAAGGACGGUACCUGACGAAGAAGCCCCGGCUAACUACGUGCCAGCAGCCGCGGUAAGACGUAGGGGGCAAGCGUUAUCCGGAUUGACUGGGUGUAAAGGGAGCGUAGACGGCCAGACCAGUCAGAAGUGAAAGCCCCGGGCUCCACUCUGGGACUGCUUUUGAAACUGCCGGGCUGGAGUGCGGGAGAGCUCACCCGCAUGCCUAGUGUAGCGGUGAAAUGCGUAGAUAUUAGGAGGAACCCCAGUGGCGACGGCGGCUUACUGUACUGUAACUGACGUUGAGGCUCGCACGCGUGGGGAGCAAACAGGAUUAGAUACCCCUGUAGUC
Molecule: ribosomal RNA, 440 nt
Filed under: uncultured bacterium
Lineage: Bacteria
Description: partial 16S ribosomal RNA
Rfam family: Bacterial small subunit ribosomal RNA
Source: RNAcentral